This 382-nucleotide unclassified non-coding RNA is filed under the name uncultured Acidobacteriota bacterium. RNAcentral describes it as "uncultured Acidobacteria bacterium contains 16S-23S intergenic spacer region". Lineage: Bacteria; Pseudomonadati; Acidobacteriota. The record is from RNAcentral.
UCCGGUUUGACACCGGCAGUCUCCCUAGAGUGCCCGGCAUAACCCGCUGGUAACUAGGGACGAGGGUUGCGCUCGUUGCGGGACUUAACCCAACAUCUCACGACACGAGCUGACGACAGCCAUGCAGCACCUGUGUCCCGGCCUAUUGCUAGGAGGAAUCCAUCUCUGGAGACCGUCCGGGCAUGUCAAGGGCUGGUAAGGUUCUUCGCGUUGCGUCGAAUUAAACCACAUGCUCCACCGCUUGUGCAGGCCCCCGUCAAUUUCUUUGAGUUUUAAUCUUGCGACCGUACUCCCCAGGCGGAAUGCUUAAAGCGUUAGCGACGGCACCCGAGGACUAUAUAACCCCAGACACCAAGCAUUCAUCGUUUAAGGCUAGGACUAC